AUUGAACGCUGGCGGCAUGCCUUACACAUGCAAGUCGAACGGCAGCACGGGAGCAAUCCUGGUGGCGAGUGGCGAACGGGUGAGUAAAGUAUCGGAACGUGCCCAGUCGUGGGGGAUAACGUAGCGAAAGUUACGCUAAUAACGCAUACGAUCUAUGGAUGAAAGCGGGGGAUCGCAAGACCUCGCGCGAUUGGAGCGGCCGAUAUCAGAUUAGGUAGUUGGUGGGGUAGAGGCUCACCAAGCCGACGAUCUGUAGCUGGUCUGAGAGGACGAGCAGCCACACUGGGACUGGGACACGGCCCAGACUCCUACGGGAGGCAGCAGUGGGGAAUUUUGGACAAUGGGCGAAAGCCUGAUCCAGCCAUGCCGCGUGCAGGAUGAAGGCCUUCGGGUUGUAAACUGCUUUUGUACGGAACGAAAAGGUUUGGCCUAAUAAGCUGAGCUCAUGACGGUACCGUAAGAAUAAGCACCGGCUAACUACGUGCCAGCCGCCGCCGUAA
This 500-nucleotide ribosomal RNA is filed under the name uncultured bacterium. RNAcentral's name for it is "partial 16S ribosomal RNA". It matches the Rfam family "Bacterial small subunit ribosomal RNA", at positions 30 to 523 of the family's 1533-position model. The record is from RNAcentral.